Molecule: long non-coding RNA, 3170 nt
Organism: Oxyura jamaicensis (ruddy duck)
Lineage: Eukaryota; Metazoa; Chordata; Aves; Anseriformes; Anatidae
Exons: 2
Source: RefSeq, a predicted model, not a curated record
UCCCUUCUUCGUUUUUCUGCCUGUUGAGUGGUUUCAGUGUGCUCUGCUGAGUUCACAGGACUCCCUUAUCUAGGCAGAAGCACAAACCGUGCCGUCCCCGGCUCUGCAGCCACAUCACCCCCACUGCCGUGGCUGCUCGUGGCUGAGGCUGUGCUCUGACAGCACGAUGUAUUCCUUGGAAAGCUCGAAAAGGAAGCAGUCUUAAAAAAAAAUCACAUUAAGCAUGGCAUGUGUUUCAUGCUCCUUUAGCAUCUUACCCUGCUACAGAGUGUUGUAAUUCCCCUGGCUGCUUUUGAAUUUCGUGUCACACUUUUAAAUGGGGUUUGGUACAUUUCUCUACAUGCUCUGUCAGUAGAGUUCUGCCAAUAACUGGGGAAGCAACUGCCGGCUGCGCUGCCUCGUGUGCUCGAGCGCACGGAUGUCACGGCUGGAGGGACCUGCAGCCUGGGACGACGCCGUCUUCCUACCGCUGGAGCCGCGGAGGCGCUUCUCAGCAAGGCAGGGGUUUUGUUAACCGAGUGUAUUAUCCUGUCCUAAAGUUUUAAAGCAAAUAAAUCAAAGCUACUUGUAGUGGUGUUAAAGAUUCUCGCCGUUAAUGAGGUAAAAUUAUCCUGAACUGGGAGGAGGUUUGACUUUGAAAGUUCACUCAGAGGAACGUUGAGGAGCGUCUUCCACGGAGCCACACAAACCUGGGCCGUCCUUAAACCAAGACUAAUUGUAGCUGCGUAGCUGUGCUAGGAAACGAGAUAAUAAUGGCGUAAUGGCAGACACCAACCUUUGGAAAACCCGAAUUCACGAGUGGUAGCUGACAGCUGGGACCCAUGGCAGGGAUCUCGAGGAAAAGGUGGGAGGGAGAGGACUGAAAAGUGCUUAACCACGGAGACAGUUGAGGGUAAUACAGACCUGGUGGAGAGGUAAUUACGUUUAUUGACCUUCUCUUCCUCCUGAAAACGGAGCUAUUUCUGACUGCUGUCUAACAGCUCUCUCAUUCACUCUCUUUGUGUUCCCAAGGACAUUCCCCGUUGAUAAACGUGCCCGAUGUGCCCACGCCUUGUCUCUGAUUGUCCGCGGUCGUGUCGAGCAGGUGUGAGGGAGGCUGAAUGCAGCUCCUCCUGGUGCUGAAGCAUGUGUUGCAUUUGAAGACGAGGUGUAAGGGCUGGAUUUCCGAGCAGGCUUUCAGGCGUGCCGUGGUUCUUUAAGCCAGCAAUGGUUUGCCAGAAAGCCAGCGGAUGCGGUUCCAAAGAGAGAGGAAAAGGGAUUGCUGAAGUGUGAAGUUCUUGUUUAGUCAUACCCCUUCUUCAGGGCAGCAUUACAGCUGCAGAUGCAGUUUAGAUACUUUGAGGUGUUUGCAAAGAUUAAUUAGCUGCCUAAGUGGGAACUGAACUCUGAUGAAAGUCUGGCCCUUGUGGGCACUGAGCCUCGGGCUUGGUAUGCUUUUGAAAAAUCUCACCCCGGAGGACUCGGUGGAUGCACUUUCCUGACCCGAGCUCAUGCAUUAGAGAAGAAGCUUAGAGUUAUUUCAGUACUUCCAGGAGUUCAGGCUCAUUCCUCAAAGCGAACAACCUCACACUUUCCUCGUCUACGAAGUGGCUAAAAUCCCCUGAGAGUGCCUUUUUUGGAGGAAGUUCAUACGAGGUAGCAACUCUGGAUAGCAGCAGGCUGCCUGGACAGGGCCGUGUACCGGUAAGUACAGCUAAGCAGUGGGAGCCCAGGCUGCAAUGCCUUCGUUUUACCGAUGCCCCCCGCAUGCUCCUGCCCUGUUCCCCUCCCCGCCUCGCUCCCCUGCUUCUCCUUCUCCUUCGCCCUGCUUUUAGGCUGCCUGCUGACUUGGUGCAUUUUGCAAACUUGCAAUUUCACGCUGCAUUUGUUGCCUUGGCAACAUAAAAGGGGAGAUCAAAGUGUGUGUGUGGGGGGAGUUAAAAAUAAAAAACAACCCCAAACCCUCUUAAGUCAGCCCCUUGUCUUGUGCAUUGCCCGUGCACCACUGGACGGGUGGGUACCUUGGCAGCGGAGUUGUAAGGAGCCUUUGACCGCUCCCAGCUGCUGCGGAGACAUCACAGGGGACCCAGACCUCUUUCCCUCCCCUCCUCAAGCUGCUGUCACCCAUCCCUCUCUUAGAGGGUGGCCGAGAGCCUGCAGGAUGCUGGAGCAGGGGCUGAAGCUUGCUCAGGUCCCUCCACCCCUCCUCUUCCCAGGCGCUGUGGCUAAAGGAGCAGCAGCCCUUAAAUGAAAACUUUACGGCGAGGCGCUGCUGACACUUUUUCAUUAUGAAGAUACAUGGGGUGGCUGGUAGCUAAUGAAUGUCAGUGCUCAAAAGGAUAAUCUCUGCUUCUCUCUGAUACAAUUUAACAUCGUAUUUCCCUAAUUUGAGGCUGAUUUAGUCGCUGGGGUAUUUGGAUGCCUCUUCUAUGGUGCCGAUAGUUAAUUAAACAGAUGUUGCAGAGGGAAUCAUUAAUUUUAGUGCUGCAGAUGGGAGCGGAAUGACUUUGCGAAGUUAAUGUUUCAGCAAAACAAUAGGCUUCUGUCAUCAGUUGGUAUAAACCAAGUAAAUUAAGAGAACAAGUAGAGUAAAGGAGAUAGCUUUGAAAGAAUAUCAAUUAUUCAUUUCAGAAUUAUACUUUUUCCCCCCAUAAAUCAUUAUGGGAGGAGAGGAGGAGAAAAUCUGUAAAACCUGGGAAGAGGGCAAGAGAAGAGUCCCUGAGACGGCAGCCUGGGGGAGAGUUUGACGCUGCUCCCACCCUUGCUCGAGAGCAGCAGGGCUCCGGCAGGACCACGGGGAGCCAGCAGUGCCUUGGAACCACGGUGCCGCUUCGGGCAAGUCCAGGAAAAAUUUCCUGGAGCACCUGAAAUCACAUCCAUAGAGACAGCUGUGGUUUUCCGUGCUUUAAAAGCAGGUGGGCGCAAGCAGCUUCAUUUUAUUUUGGAGGCUGUGAUGCUUUUUUUGCUCCAGGCUGGGUGUCCUGUGCCUGUUGCCAAGUUUUCCUAGGUUUUUGUAUGUAUAAAAGCACCUGCAUGUGGUGACAGUUGUCUAAGGGGAAGCUGGUGUGUUUGAGAACUUGGACUUAGCAGUGUAAUAAGCCUCUAAACACUCGUGGAAAAAACUUGCUGUAGGGUUGCAACUAUGCAUCAGAUGUGGCACCAAGUCUAUGGCUAGGGGAGGAAGAACUUCA